UCGCUCGCUUUCCCUCCCCCCUCCCCCCCGCAGGGAGACGAGCCAGCGCGGCCGGGCGGGCGCCACAGUCUCGUGAGUGACGCCACUCAGAGCGUGCUGGUGCGUCUGCGCGGACCUGCCGGGGCCAGCCUCGUCAGCGAGAGACCUGCCCGCUCUGCCUCGACCGCCGGCGCAGUAGCCCAAACGCGAACUGCUGCCAGCAGAAUUUCCUGCGCCACCACACCGGCGCUGGGCUUAGUGAGUGCCACAGGCAGCCAAGAAUUCCCCCAGUACCUGAGAAGAGCAAUGCAGCUGAGGAUCUAGCUCAAAAGAACUAAGCAGAAGAGCGUUAAAGCAGAGACAAUUUGAGCUAAAUCGUUUCUCAUCUGUACACGAUCAGGACGACCAACUGGAAAAACACAAUACAUUCAGAUAGCGUGGAUUCCCCAGCAUUCAGAAGAGCAUUGUAUGCAGUUUGGUGAUGACCAGCUUUUCUUGCUACUCUGGCACUCUGGAGCCAACAUUCUCCAACUAGUUCACUGUAAUCCUGUC
Mauremys reevesii (Reeves's turtle) is the source of this 531-nucleotide long non-coding RNA. RefSeq lists it as uncharacterized. The record is from RefSeq and is a predicted model, not a curated record. Lineage: Eukaryota; Metazoa; Chordata; Testudines; Geoemydidae. The transcript has 4 exons.